This 494-nucleotide long non-coding RNA is filed under the name Helianthus annuus (common sunflower). Lineage: Eukaryota; Viridiplantae; Streptophyta; Magnoliopsida; Asterales; Asteraceae. The record is from RNAcentral.
UAAAAUCCCAAUUUUUGCUCUAAGUUUCAACCAUAUAUAGGUGUUCUCCUUGAUGUCUUCAAUCAUUCCAGUAGGUGUUUUGUGUGCUCCCUUAAAAACCUUUUAAUUUCUGUUGAUCCAAAGCUUCUAGAAAACUAUAAAACUACCAUGAGCUCUUGAUGGAACAUACAUAAAGUGCUUAGUGCCUAAUGAAGAGAAGCCUAAAUACAUACCAAGAAAGGGAAAGAUUGCUACAAACGUAACUAGAAGUGGAUGUGCGCGCGGCCUUACUCAUGCUUGUGGAUUUCGUCUAUGUUUAUGUUUAAAUAAAGUUGUAAACUUUUAAGACAAUGUUUCUUCCUAUCUCGCGAUGUAAACGCUAAACUUAUGUUUUCAAAUUAUGAAAUGUUUGGUAUUUGAAGUUAUUUUAUGAGCAUGUAGUAUGUUUACCUUCCGUGUGCAAUGAGAACCUUUCAUGAUCACACCUCGUGCUUCCGUCGCAAAAAGGGUGUGAC